RNAcentral lists this ribosomal RNA (425 nucleotides) under uncultured bacterium. RNAcentral describes it as "partial 16S ribosomal RNA". It matches the Rfam family "Bacterial small subunit ribosomal RNA", at positions 354 to 796 of the family's 1533-position model. The record is from RNAcentral.
GUGGGGAAUCUUGCGCAAUGGGCGAAAGCCUGACGCAGCCAUGCCGCGUGAAUGAUGAAGGUCUUAGGAUUGUAAAAUUCUUUCACCGGGGACGAUAAUGACGGUACCCGGAGAAGAAGCUCCGGCUAACUUCGUGCCAGCAGCCGCGGUAAUACGAAGGGGGCUAGCGUUGCUCGGAAUUACUGGGCGUAAAGGGCGCGUAGGCGGACAGCUUAGUCAGAGGUGAAAGCCCAGGGCUCAACCUUGGAAUUGCCUUUGAUACUGGCUGUCUUGAGUUUGGGAGAGGGGAGUGGAACUCCGAGUGUAGAGGUGAAAUUCGUAGAUAUUCGGAAGAACACCAGUGGCGAAGGCGACUCACUGGCCCAAUACUGACGCUGAGGCGCGAAAGCGUGGGGAGCAAACAGGAUUAGAUACCCGAGUAGUCC